Molecule: unclassified non-coding RNA, 387 nt
Filed under: soil metagenome
Description: partial contains 5.8S ribosomal RNA, internal transcribed spacer 2, and large subunit ribosomal RNA
Rfam family: 5.8S ribosomal RNA (bases 1-120)
Source: RNAcentral
GAUGAAGAACGCAGUGAAAUGCGAUAAGUAAUGUGAAUUGCAGAAUUCAGUGAAUCAUCGAAUCUUUGAACGCACAUUGCGCCCAUUAGUAUUCUAGUGGGCAUGCCUGUUCGAGCGUCAUUAAUUCCACUUAAGCCCUGCUUAGUGUUGGGAAUCUACUCUAGUGGUGCUACCCUGGAGCUACCCCUGAAAGGGGGCUGGCCCGGUAGCUACCCUGUAGUUCCUCAAAGAUAGUGCGCGGAGUUGCGUGGUCCUCUGAGCUUAGUAACUAUACACCUAGCUUUUGAGUGUCCCGCGGCGCCUGCCGUUUAAACCCCAUCUUUUAAUGGUUGACCUCGGAUCAGGUAGGAAUACCCGCUGAACUUAAGCAUAUCAAUAAGCGGAAGA